RNAcentral lists this long non-coding RNA (570 nucleotides) under Homo sapiens (human). RNAcentral describes it as "HSALNT0308884". The record is from RNAcentral. Lineage: Eukaryota; Metazoa; Chordata; Mammalia; Primates; Hominidae.
GUGCUCCAUGCUACCCUGGGGUUCUAGAAAUUCUGGAGCUCAAGGGCAUCAGUGGGUCAAGAGGACAGAAUGUCAUCAAAUUGGAAUCAUACAGAUUUCAGAUUGGCUUCUUUCACUAAGCAAUAUGCAUGAUAGAGGACUUCAUCAACAAGGUUCUUUCAUCUUCCUUAGUUGUUUGGAUCCUUAAGCCUGCCUUGAAAGAAGAGGGAGAAGGCUUCAGGGGAAAUGCUCCCCGCGCUGACCCACAGGAUGGCUUCCUUCAACAAAUGCAGCCACCUUUGAUUGGCUGCCUGCUACAAGAGAAACAUCAGGAGGUACGUAUUGCCAUGGGGGGAACUGAAGAUGGAGGACCCCUCAUUUGUGGAAUUGGGAACGGGCUUUGGGUCACAUGAGGCUCAUCCCUGAUGAGCUAGAACGUGGAAGUUACCUGAAUCCAGAAACCGAUAUUAGGCUCUGUAAUGGACAUGCAGAGGAAGAAGGACCUGUUGCCACGUCUACAGAGGGGUCAGGAAAGACACACUUGGAAUGACCCUAAGAAACCAUGGGCAAGUCUCCAUUUUUUUCCCUCAG